GUGAAACCAGUCUGGGUGGGCCGGCACAGUUUCACAUUUGCUGAGUCAUUGCUGGUGUAGAUCUUUAAAAGGAAGCGAACUCUUCGGUCUCACAUAACCCACCCAUUGACACAGACGCAAUCUCUCUUCACCCGCGGAAGGAAAACCUGAGCAGUCGACAAAAUGCCGAGAAACUUUAAUCAGUGUGUUGAAGAUUUGGCUGAAAUGUAUAAGGAAUGCAGCAAGAAGAAAAAUUUCAAAGAAGUGAUAAAGUGCGAUUGCCCUCAGCUUCAGGAAAAAAUGGAAUGCUGCCCCGAGUUAAAGAGUGCCAUGACUCCGGUGUUGGAGGGAGAAGAUCUGACUGUGGACCAGUUCUGCACAGUUGUUCGUUGCGGCAUCAAAAUGAAUACGAUGAGUUCGUGUCAGCAGACCUGUGGGUGAAGAUCAAAAGGCCAAGGCGGCAGAGAAUCUCCAGCAUGAAAUCAUCAAGUGUGUCGCAUUUUAGAAAUAUUUUGUAUGCAAGCAGGAUGUGAUUCGCUGUUUGUUUCUAUGCAAAAGUGGAACCUUUCAUUUGUUGGAUGAGAAUGAAUAAAAAUUAAUUGUCCUGA
This is a long non-coding RNA of Thalassophryne amazonica, 587 nucleotides long. RefSeq lists it as uncharacterized. The record is from RefSeq and is a predicted model, not a curated record. Lineage: Eukaryota; Metazoa; Chordata; Actinopteri; Batrachoidiformes; Batrachoididae. The transcript has 3 exons.